This is a long non-coding RNA of Aplysia californica (California sea hare), 134 nucleotides long. RefSeq lists it as uncharacterized. NCBI's taxonomy places the organism in Eukaryota, Metazoa, Mollusca, Gastropoda, Aplysiida, Aplysiidae. The record is from RefSeq and is a predicted model, not a curated record. The transcript is spliced from 3 exons.
CGUGUUGUCUGUGCCUUGUUGAUCUGAAUUCAGAACCUAAGAUCUCGGAAUCUUCGCGGACGCAGUAUCAUGUCUGGAGAGGAACAGCCCCAGCCGUUUGCCAGCGACGAGGAGAUGAUCUCGGAAUCUUCGCG